This 1136-nucleotide small RNA is filed under the name Pan troglodytes (chimpanzee). RNAcentral's name for it is "processed transcript". Lineage: Eukaryota; Metazoa; Chordata; Mammalia; Primates; Hominidae. The record is from RNAcentral.
ACUCCAGCCUGGCCCCGCCCCGGCCCAGCUACAUUCCCGGGCCAGCUUCUGUACUGCCAGGUCCGGGUCGGCGGCUGCACUGCGGAUGAGACCGGUGCGACUCAUGAAGGUGUUCGUCACCCGCAGGAUACCCGCCGAGGCUGUGAGGUGGAGCAGUGGGACACGGAUGAGCCCAUCCCCGCCCAGGAGCUAGAGCGAGGUGUGGCGGGGGCCCAUGGCCUGCUCUGCCUCCUCUCCGACCACGUGGACAAGAGGAUCCUGGAUGCUGCAGGGGCCAAUCUCAAAGUCAUCAGCACCAUGUCUGUGGGCGUCGACCACUUGGCUUUGGAUGAAAUCAAGAAGCGUGGGAUCCGAGUUGGCUACACCCCAGAUGUCCUGACAGAUACCACCGCCGAACUCGCAGUCUCCCUGCUACUUACCACCUGCCGCCGGUUGCCGGAGGCCAUCGAGGAAGUGAAGAAUGGUGGCUGGACCUCGUGGAAGCCCCUCUGGCUGUGUGGCUAUGGACUCACGCAGAGCACUGUCGGCAUCAUCGGGCUGGGGCGCAUAGGUGAGGCUCCCACCGGCCCGCUUGCCCGCCCCGGCUCUCACAGCGUGGUUUGCAUCCCUGGCACCACGUGUCUGAAGGCUGAGAAGACCCGCAUGCUGUCAGGGCACUUUGCUUACAGUAGAGGUAUUUCUAGUGAGGGAUACCGCUUUGUAAAACACAGGCAAAUACAUAAAUAAACCAAAGCAGGAUUCCUUAAGAACUCACCAGGUGAUAAAAGCAAGUUGCCUAAGGGUCAGGGGGCUUCAUGAUUCCGGCUCCAUAAAGAACAGAUGAAGACUACAAAUGUGUCGGGGCCGUUAGGAGUGGUUACCGUGAGAGAGCCCAUUCCCCCGACACCUACUGCGGCUUGUGUUCUGGAAGGUAUGUGACUCACAAAGCCCUAACUCGGGCCAGAGGGCUCAGUGGGCAGAGUUGAUCUGCAGUUCUGCAGCUGAGGCAGAGACACUUUUCUUCCAGUGGCCCUUAUUUGGAGAAGCCUGGCAGAAGGGCUUGGGCCUAGCCAAGCAGCUAUCUAUUGGUGGUUCUCUGUCAUCCUGCCUGGUGCAGGAGUGCGGGUGAGGGUGGAGAGUGUGGAGAACCUGUCUAG